RNAcentral lists this ribosomal RNA (374 nucleotides) under uncultured organism. Its description in RNAcentral is "partial 16S ribosomal RNA". It matches the Rfam family "Bacterial small subunit ribosomal RNA", at positions 527 to 896 of the family's 1533-position model. The record is from RNAcentral.
GUAGGUGGCAAGCGUUGUCCGGAAUUAUUGGGCGUAAAGCGCGCGCAGGCGGUCCUUUAAGUCUGAUGUGAAAGCCCACGGCUCAACCGUGGAGGGUCAUUGGAAACUGGGGGACUUGAGUACAGAAGAGGAAAGCGGAAUUCCAAGUGUAGCGGUGAAAUGCGUAGAGAUUUGGAGGAACACCAGUGGCGAAGGCGGCUUUCUGGUCUGUAACUGACACUGAGGCGCGAAAGCGUGGGGAGCAAACAGGAUUAGAUACCCUGGUAGUCCACGCCGUAAACGAUGAGUGCUAAGUGUUAGGGGGUUUCCCGCCCCCCUUAGUGCUGCAGCUAACGCAUUAAGCACUCCGCCUGGGGAGUACGGCCGCAAGGCUG